GCCCGGGUGGUGGAAUCGGUAGACACAAGGGAUUUAAAAUCCCUCGGCGUUCGCGCUGUGCGGGUUCAAGUCCCGCCCCGGGUACCA
RNAcentral lists this transfer RNA (87 nucleotides) under Escherichia coli. RNAcentral describes it as "tRNA-Leu". It matches the Rfam family "tRNA". From Rfam's summary of the family: Transfer RNA (tRNA) molecules are approximately 80 nucleotides in length. Lineage: Bacteria; Pseudomonadati; Pseudomonadota; Gammaproteobacteria; Enterobacterales; Enterobacteriaceae. RNAcentral also lists the same sequence under 20 other names. The record is from RNAcentral.